AAAACAAUCCUACGGGAGGCAGCAGUGGGGAAUAUUGGACAAUGGGCGCAAGCCUGAUCCAGCAAUGCCGCGUGUGUGAAGAAGGCCUUCGGGUUGUAAAGCACUUUAAGCAGGGAAGAAAACGCUCAAGCUAAUAUCUUGAGUCUUGACGGUACCUGAAGAAUAAGCACCGGCUAACUCUGUGCCAGCAGCCGCGGUAAUACAGAGGGUGCGAGCGUUAAUCGGAUUUACUGGGCGUAAAGCGUGUGUAGGUGGUUGUGCAAGUCGGUUGUGAAAUCCCUGGGCUCAACCUGGGAACUGCUUCCGAGACUGCUCGACUAGAGUACGGUAGAGGGCGGUG
RNAcentral lists this ribosomal RNA (340 nucleotides) under uncultured bacterium. RNAcentral's name for it is "bacterial SSU rRNA". It matches the Rfam family "Bacterial small subunit ribosomal RNA", at positions 330 to 663 of the family's 1533-position model. The record is from RNAcentral.